This 71-nucleotide transfer RNA is filed under the name Danio rerio (zebrafish). It matches the Rfam family "tRNA". Rfam says of the family: Transfer RNA (tRNA) molecules are approximately 80 nucleotides in length. Their secondary structure includes four short double-helical elements and three loops (D, anti-codon, and T loops). Lineage: Eukaryota; Metazoa; Chordata; Actinopteri; Cypriniformes; Danionidae. The record is from Rfam by way of RNAcentral.
GCAUUGUUGGUUCACUGGUAGAAUCCUCGCCUGCCAUGCGGGAGACCUGGGUCAGAUUCCCAGCCAAUGCA